UGGGGAAUAUUGCACAAUGGGCGAAAGCCUGAUGCAGCGACGCCGCGUGAGGGAUGACGGCCUUCGGGUUGUAAACCUCUUUCAGCAGGGAAGAAGCGCAAGUGACGGUACCUGCAGAAGAAGCACCGGCUAACUACGUGCCAGCAGCCGCGGUAAUACGUAGGGUGCGAGCGUUGUCCGGAAUUAUUGGGCGUAAAGAGCUCGUAGGCGGCCUGUCGCGUCGGAUGUGAAAGCCCGGGGCUCAACCCCGGGUCUGCAUUCGAUACGGGCAGGCUGGAGUGUGGUAGGGGAGAUCGGAAUUCCUGGUGUAGCGGUGAAAUGCGCAGAUAUCAGGAGGAACACCGGUGGCGAAGGCGGAUCUCUGGGCCAUUACUGACGCUGAGGAGCGAAAGCGUGGGGAGCGAACA
Molecule: ribosomal RNA, 407 nt
Filed under: uncultured Kitasatospora sp.
Lineage: Bacteria; Bacillati; Actinomycetota; Actinomycetes; Kitasatosporales; Streptomycetaceae
Description: bacterial SSU rRNA
Rfam family: Bacterial small subunit ribosomal RNA
Source: RNAcentral